This 73-nucleotide transfer RNA is filed under the name Rattus norvegicus (Norway rat). It matches the Rfam family "tRNA". Rfam says of the family: Transfer RNA (tRNA) molecules are approximately 80 nucleotides in length. Their secondary structure includes four short double-helical elements and three loops (D, anti-codon, and T loops). The record is from Rfam by way of RNAcentral. Lineage: Eukaryota; Metazoa; Chordata; Mammalia; Rodentia; Muridae.
UGAGGUGUAGCUCAGUUGGUAGAGUGCUUGCCUGGCAUGCAUAACGUCCUGGGUUCAAUCCCUGGCAUCCCAU